Molecule: ribosomal RNA, 496 nt
Filed under: uncultured bacterium
Lineage: Bacteria
Description: partial 16S ribosomal RNA
Rfam family: Bacterial small subunit ribosomal RNA
Source: RNAcentral
AUGAACGCUGGCGGCGUGCCUAAUACCUGCAAGUCGCGCGAACAGACGAGGAGCUUGCUCCUCUGACGUUAGCGGCGGACGGGUGAGUAACACGUGGAUAACCUACCUAUAAGACUGGGAUAACUUCGGGAAACCGGAGCUAAUACCGGAUAAUAUAUUUAACCGCAUGGUUCAAUAGUGAAAGACGGUUUUGCUGUCACUUAUAGAUGGAUCCGCGCCGCAUUAGCUAGUUGGUAAGGUAACGGCUUACCAAGGCAACGAUGCGUAGACGACCUGAGAGGGUGAUCGGCCACACUGGAACUGAGACACGGUCCAGACUACUACGGGAGGCAGCAGUAGGGAAUCUGCCGCAAUGGGCGAAAGCCUGACGGAGCAACGCCGCGUGAGUGAUGAAGGUCUUCGGAUCGUAAAACUCUGUUAUUAGGGAAGAACAAAUGUGUAAGUAACUAUGCACGUAUUGACGGUACCUAAUCAGAAAGCCACGGCUAACUACGUG